GAUGAACGCUGGCGGCGCGCCUAACACAUGCAAGUCGAACGAAGCAAUUGAAUGGAAGCCUUCGGGUGGAAGAUCGAUUGACUGAGUGGCGGACGGGUGAGUAACGCGUGGGGAACCUGCCCUGUACAGGGGGACAACGGUUGGAAACGACCGCUAAUACCCCGUAAGCGCCCAUCUUCGCAUGAAGAUGAGUGAAAAGCGAAUGCGGUAUGGGAUGGCCCCGCGUCCGAUUAGAUAGUUGGUAGGGUAAGAGCCUACCAAGUCAACGAUCGGUAGCCGGCCUGAGAGGGCGGACGGCCACAUUGGGACUGAGACACGGCCCAGACUCCUGCGGGAGGCAGCAGUGGGGAAUCUUGCACAAUGGGGGAAACCCUGAUGCAGCGACGCCGCGUGAAGGAAGAAGUAUCUCGGUAUGUAAACUUCUAUCAGCAGGGAAGAAAGUGACGGUACCUGACUAAGAAGCCCCGGCUAACUACGUGCCAGCAGCCGCGGUAAAAC
RNAcentral lists this ribosomal RNA (498 nucleotides) under uncultured bacterium. RNAcentral describes it as "bacterial SSU rRNA". It matches the Rfam family "Bacterial small subunit ribosomal RNA", at positions 28 to 526 of the family's 1533-position model. The record is from RNAcentral.